This 492-nucleotide ribosomal RNA is filed under the name uncultured bacterium. RNAcentral's name for it is "partial 16S ribosomal RNA". It matches the Rfam family "Bacterial small subunit ribosomal RNA", at positions 29 to 507 of the family's 1533-position model. The record is from RNAcentral.
AGUGAACGCUGGCGAUAGGCCUAACACAUGCAAGUCGAACGGCAGCACAGUAAGAGCUUGCUCUUACGGGUGGCGAGUGGCGGACGGGUGAGGAAUACAUCGGAAUCUACUUUUUCGUGGGGGAUAACGUAGGGAAACUUACGCUAAUACCGCAUACGACCUACGGGUGAAAGCAGGGGAUCUUCGGACCUUGCGCGAUUGAAUGAGCCGAUGUCGGAUUGGCUAGUUGGCGGGGUAAAGGCCCACCAAGGCGACGAUCCGUAGCUGGUCUGAGAGGAUGAUCAGCCACACUGGAACUGAGACACGGUCCAGACUCCGACGGGAGGCAGCAGUGGGGAAUAUUGGACAAUGGGCGCAAGCCUGAUCCAGCCAUACCGCGUGGGUGAAGAAGGCCUUCGGGUUGUAAAGCCCUUUUGUUGGGAAAGAAAAGCAGCAGGUUAAUACCCCGCUGUUCUGACGGUACCCAAAGAAUAAGCACCGGCUAACUUCGUG